This 253-nucleotide ribosomal RNA is filed under the name uncultured bacterium. RNAcentral describes it as "partial 16S ribosomal RNA". It matches the Rfam family "Bacterial small subunit ribosomal RNA", at positions 524 to 776 of the family's 1533-position model. The record is from RNAcentral.
UACGGAGGGUGCGAGCGUUAAUCGGAAUUACUGGGCGUAAAGCGCACGUAGGCGGUCUGGUAAGUCGGAUGUGAAAGCCCCGGGCUUAACCUGGGAAUUGCAUUCGAUACUGCCUGACUGGAGUAUGGGAGAGGGAAGCGGAAUUUCCGGUGUAGCGGUGAAAUGCGUAGAUAUCGGAAGGAACAUCAAUGGCGAAGGCAGCUUCCUGGCCCAAUACUGACGCUGAGGUGCGAAAGCGUGGGGAUCAAACAGG